This 2359-nucleotide long non-coding RNA is filed under the name Monodelphis domestica (gray short-tailed opossum). RNAcentral's name for it is "lncRNA (ENSMODG00000038366.1)". The record is from RNAcentral. Lineage: Eukaryota; Metazoa; Chordata; Mammalia; Didelphimorphia; Didelphidae.
GUGAUAGUUGAGCGAAGGAUGGAUUGACAUGGGGAAAGACUUAAAGCAGGGAGGCCAACAAGUAGGCUGUCAAAGUGGUCCAGGUGUGAGGUGAUGGAAGCCUUCUCUGGGUGGCAGAAGUACCAGAAGAAAGAACAAAGAGGGCAAAAGCAGGAUAUGUUCUGAAGGUAGAAAACAACAAGAUUGGACAACGAAUAGGAUAGAGAGUGAGGAGCUGAGUUAUUCACUGGAGUUAUUCAAGCAGGAACCGGACAGGCAUUUUUCAGGGAUACUGUAAAAGGGACUCCAACGUUGGGUGAUCAGAUCAGAUUAGAUGUGAUUUCUGAAUCUCCUCUCAGCUCUGAGAUCCCAGGAUUCUAUGGUCCUAUGAGCCAAAAGUCCUAUACUUUGAAGACUGGUACCUACUGGUUUCAGUGGCUACUUCUAUGAGUUGGCAUCCAUGAAUUUAAGAUUCUAGAAUUCUCUGAUUCUUUGAGAAAAAGACCAGUGAGUUCUCUCAUUUUAUGGGCCCAGAAUUCUAUUAUUCUCUGAGUCUGUGUUUCUGAGAUUCUGGAGGGCCUUAUGUUACCACAUACCUCUUGCUCUUUUGACUAUAGCACCUGGAGGUAAAGAUGAAGGUCCAUGGUCAAACAAUGAGCCAGUUGAGUGAUUGCUUCAUUCUCUCUCUCUCUCUCUCUAGGUCAGGGAUACUGGUAGGGUUGGACAUGCCAAGAAGGCAUGCCAGGACUGGAGAGAGGAGCUCUUGCUUCCCAGGCUGCAACAUUCAGAUGUCAGAAGUCAAGGAAGGUAUUCAGCAUGCAGGGUGGAUGUCCAGUGAUGAACUUAAAAGAAGAGAGAGGACAAGAAGAACCCAGGAAAGGGAAGCUUGAGUGGUUAUGAUCUGCCUUGUCAAAAAAGACAUCAGCAUCAUUGAGACUCCAUCUGAGUAACAAUAACUGAGAUUUAUAUGGCACUUAAAAGUUUGCAAAGCACUCUCCAUGAUCUCUUACAUUUGACCAUCACAACAACUCUAGGAGGUAAAAGCUAUGGGCAUUAUACCCAUUUUAUAAGUGAGGAAGCUAAGAUUGAGAUAAGGGUCUCUCAGCUAGGGACUGUCUGGAGCAAAACUUAAACUCAUGUUCAGGAAUCCAAGUCCUGUGCUAUAUGUCUAUCUUCCAUUUGAUGACCCUUCAAAUACCCUGGCUUCCUCAACGACCAUGGCCUCUAUCUCUAAGGGGGUGGUCAAACUUUGGACUUCAAUCACUCAAAACCAUUCCAUAUCCAAGAUCUUGAACUCUGAAAUUUCCCUCACAAUUACAAACUACUAUCCUUCUCCUUUCCCCUUGUCUCUCUCUCCUCCUAAAACUGUUUUUUGUCUUUAGGAAGAAUUUUGGUCCCUCAAUCCUUCCGCAUCUAUUCUUCCUUGUUUUCCCAGUUCAUUGUUUUAGCCUUACUUUCCACCUUCCACAGUCUAGACCCUAUCUCUAGCUGACCAGGUAAACAACUGUGCACCGCACUCCACUGGACCCUUCCUUCCCUAUUCAGGUCCUGCUAAUCUUCAGCUGAAUUUCACCUCCACUCAUUCUCUUCUCUGCCACCAUUCUGAGUCACUGAAAUCUACAGGAAGUCAUGAAAUCAAGUAGUCUGGAUGAUUUGGGAUCCAUGCCACCCACUCACAACCUGGCUUCACCACUCCAGAGUAAUCUUUGAUUAACUCCCUAUAAUGCUCAUUUUUCCCAAUGACUUGGAUAAAGGUUAAAUGAUAUGUUUAUUCAUAUUGCACAUGAGAGAAAGGUAGGAGGUUUAGUCAGCUUGUUAGAUGAGAGAUUAAGAUCCAAAAAGAUCUUGACAGGAUAGAACAUAGGCUAAAUCUAUUAAAUUAGAUGUUUAUAGAUAAACACAUUUCGAAUCUUAAACUCUUCCCUUUAAUUAAAGUCUAAUAAGUUUCAUAUUAAGCCUCUAUUAAAUCAUAAUUGAGUCUACUGACUGAUUGGUAAAGGGAAUUGCCCUAGCAGAGGUUCCAAUGUUAGGAAGAUAGUCACUCCAAAGGUUACCUCCCCAUUACCAGAUAUGUGUGUAUGUAUUAUAUAUCUUAUAAAGUAGAGUAGUGAUAGUAUGUGCCUGGAGGGGAGAGAAGAGACAGACUUUCUUUUCAAAGAUAACCUUUCUGCUUGAAUUGCUAUGCAUGGGGAGCAGAGUUGGGAAGGUAGAGGAAUCCUAACUGACCUGAACAGAUUUAUCUGUAGGUCAAAGGAGAGAGACUUGCUGCAUCCUUUGAGAGGGGAAAGAUCUUUGAAGGCCAUCAAUUCAAAUUAUGUUAAAAAUUACUCAUCCCUUAAAAAUGAAUAAAAGAAACAAUUGAUAAAUUAUUCCUUAAAAA